Molecule: ribosomal RNA, 253 nt
Filed under: uncultured bacterium
Lineage: Bacteria
Description: partial 16S ribosomal RNA
Rfam family: Bacterial small subunit ribosomal RNA
Source: RNAcentral
UACGAAGGGUGCAAGCGUUACUCGGAAUUACUGGGCGUAAAGCGUGCGUAGGUGGUGAGUUAAGUCUGUCGUGAAAGCCCCGGGCUCAACCUGGGAAUGGCGAUGGAUACUGGCUCGCUAGAGUGCGGUAGAGGAGAGUGGAAUUCCCGGUGUAGCAGUGAAAUGCGUAGAGAUCAUGAGGAAGACCAGUGGCGAAGGCGGGUCUCUGGACAGUUCCUGACACUGAGACACGAAGGCCAGGGGAGCAAACGGG